Theobroma cacao (cacao) is the source of this 107-nucleotide small nucleolar RNA. It matches the Rfam family "Plant small nucleolar RNA R71". Rfam says of the family: R71 is a member of the C/D box family of snoRNAs containing the C (UGAUGA) and D (CUGA) box motifs. Multiple nearly identical copies of this snoRNA have been identified in Arabidopsis, and it is thought to function as a 2'-O-ribose methylation guide for 18S ribosomal RNA. The record is from Rfam. NCBI's taxonomy places the organism in Eukaryota, Viridiplantae, Streptophyta, Magnoliopsida, Malvales, Malvaceae.
AACCCAUGGUGAGAACAUCUUCUUAACAAAUCCUUGUACCUUUCCCAAGCCUCAUAUAGUGAUUCAAAAUCCAAUUGCAUAAAAGAGGUGAUGUCAUUACGCAGCUU